Long non-coding RNA from Coturnix japonica (Japanese quail), 2175 nucleotides. RefSeq lists it as uncharacterized. Lineage: Eukaryota; Metazoa; Chordata; Aves; Galliformes; Phasianidae. The record is from RefSeq and is a predicted model, not a curated record.
UUGGCUGGAGAACAAAGAAGAAAUGAGACACACCAUGAGGACCUGGUCAGAGAGUAUACAGUUGUUACGUGGGACCCCAUGUUUCAGACCAACUCCCUCCACUGCUCAGAGCUCCCGAAGGUUGGAAAUUCAAGGUCUGGGCAUCACUGGAAAACACUCAAAUACAUCAGAAGCAGCAGCUGCCUUGCUGCUAAUAAUAUCUUCUCACCCCUCCCAGUCAGGGUCAGGGAGUUUAUCACAAAUGUGUGAAGGACUUUGAAGAUGUAAUUGCUUGAUGAUUUCUCUCCAGUAUGGAUGACCUUGAGAGCUCGGAGCAGGAGAGAAAUACAGAUAAAUGGGGCACCACCAGUCUAGGAAGCUUUUAUAUUCCAAUUGCAAGUGGUGUUUCUGGGACAAGCUACAGCAUUGUCCAGGAGUUGGUAUUAUCUGCUAUCGAUUGAUUAAGUUUAACUGUGAUUUUGUGCAGCCUUUCCUCAACAUGGCACGACUUCUAUCAUCUUCCAUCUGCUCUGCUACAAACUGGAAAUCCAGCAUCAUCCCAGGGCCAAUUACUCUGCAGGAGAUCCUGCUGGUUCUUCACUUCAGGAUACAGAGAAGAAAUGCAGACAACUUACGUCGUCCUGACAGCUGAGUGGACAGGCACCAUCGAAGGCACUGCACUGGAAAGGAAAAGCAGGAAUUACAUCACGGCACGACCUCAUCUUCCAGCCUCCCCCUUGGGACUGCUAGGCACAAGGUCUCCAGCAUCCCAUGAAACUCUGCAGGUCAGCUAGCAUUUGGAACAAGGCAAGAAGCACCCUCAGUCCAGUGCAUGGCCAUGUGCAGUUCCUGUGCUGAGCCUCCUCACUGGGCAAUGUCGCUGCUCCAGCACACAUUCAGCAAAGCCAGGGCUGGUAUGGGAAAGGGGCAGCAGCCAGCUCUGCUGUGCUAGCAGAGGCUGCUGUGUGCUGGCAAGGAAACAGCACGCAUUUCAGCAUCUGCUGGGAAAUACAUGGCGUGGUAUUUUAGAUCAGGAUUAUUCUCAGGCGGGGAUUUUGGUUGUUGUUGUUGCUGUUGGUUUCUUUAUUCCCAGGACAGCUAAUGAUAAAAUAGGAUGUGAAUGGUGGUUGUGUAGCCCCGGGCACCAUCCAUUUGUUUCAUUUAGGAUUUCUGUGUACUGGAUUUGACAUGUGUUUCACAACACUGAAUCGGGAGGCAGGCGGGGGGACGGACACGAGGGGUUAAGUGACGAAUAGCAAAGCCCUUCAGGUGCUUAUUGAUUCUGUAAUUGUUUGGAGUCGGUGGUGGCUGCCUGUGUCUGUCUCUUUGUGUUAUUUUUCAGCGCCAUUCACGCCAGCAGCUGAGAAAGGGAAGCUGACACGGCAUUGCCAUUUCUGUACAUGGGGUCCCCCUCCUGCCAGAGGUCUUCCAGGGCCAGGGGAGGAUGCUGACGUGUUGCAGCCUGCCUGCUCCCCCAUCCCCCACUGCCCUUUCUCUCUGCAAAGACCUUAUUAUGCAGAAGCCCCAGCCUCUUUCUGGAUGAUUCUCAAUACCAAGAAGCAAAUUUCAAAGUACCACAAAGCCAUUACUCUAAGGGUGUGCUGCAGGAGUGGAAGAUCCAAGGCCAUGAAAUUGCGAGCGGCCCCGUGUGCUGCACAGCAGCAGCCGUGAAGUCCUUGGAGGGACCGUGGCAAAUCGUUUUAUUCCAACCAAUGUGCAAAUAACUUGGGCGCCUCCAGCUUCCCAGCAAUGAGACAAAACCAAGGGACAAGCCAUGCCGCAUGCUUGCAUAUCAAGCUGCCUCUACAUCAUGCUGAGGAGCUACCUAGCAGCAGGCAGCUUCCCACCUGCAGGCCCAGCCAGCACCCGCUGCUACCAGCUUCUCGGUUCAGUGCAGAGAGAACAGCCUCCCUCCACCUGCUCCUUCCUUUGCCGAGCAUGUCUGCCUCAUUAGCUCAUCCUCUGCCGUCUCUCGUUCUGUCUGCCUUCUCCAGCCUGUCUCUUUGAUUAUCCAUAUGCUGCUCUCAUAAGGAGCUUUUCUCAAGGUUUAAUUCUCUGGCCUGCCACAUCACAAAGAGGCACCACAAAGAGUUGUGAGAUUACAUCCCAGGGACCGCUUAUCAAGAUGUACCUUGCCAUUCAGAACUUGUUUUCAUGGUGGCUGCUCUGAUGCUUAAAUGAAAACUGGGCUUCCAA